This 318-nucleotide ribosomal RNA is filed under the name uncultured bacterium. RNAcentral describes it as "bacterial SSU rRNA". It matches the Rfam family "Bacterial small subunit ribosomal RNA", at positions 30 to 346 of the family's 1533-position model. The record is from RNAcentral.
AUUGAACGCUGGCGGCAUGCCUUACACAUGCAAGUCGAACGGCAGCGGACCUUCGGGUGCCGGCGAGUGGCGAACGGGUGAGUAAUAUAUCGGAACGUACCUUUCAGUGGGGGAGUAACGUAGCGAAAGUUAACGCUAAUACCGCAUAUUCUGUGAGCAGGAAAGACAGGGGAGUCGUAAGACCUUGCGCUGAUUGAGCGGCCGAUAUCAGAUUAGCUAGUUGGUGAGGUAAAGGCUCACCAAGGCGACGAUCUGUAGCGGGUCUGAGAGGAUGAUCCGCCACACUGGAACUGAGACACGGUCCAGACUCCUACGGGA